UGAACGCUGGCGGCGUGCCUAAUACAUGCAAGUCGUACGAGGGAAGUCCAGCUUGCUGGACGGAACGAGUGGCGAACGGGUGAGUAAUACGUAAGCAACCUGCCUGCAAGGACUGGGAUAACACCUGGAAACGGGCGCUAAUACCGGAUAGGUAACAAAGGGGCAUCCCUAUGUUAUUAAAGGUUAGAAACACAAGCAGAUGGGCUUACGGUGCAUUAGCUAGUUGGUGAGGUAACGGCCCACCAAGGCGAUGAUGCGUAGCCGGCCUGAGAGGGUGAACGGCCACAUUGGGACUGAGACACGGCCCAGACUCCUACGGGAGGCAGCAGUAGGGAAUUUUCGGCAAUGGACGAAAGUCUGACCGAGCAACGCCGCGUGAGUGAAGAAGGUUUUCGGAUUGUAAAGCUCUGUUGUAAGGGAAGAACAGCACGGAAAGAAUCCGUGAAUGACGGUACCUUACCAGAAAGCCACGGCUAACUACGUGCCAGCAGCCGC
This 495-nucleotide ribosomal RNA is filed under the name uncultured bacterium. RNAcentral's name for it is "bacterial SSU rRNA". It matches the Rfam family "Bacterial small subunit ribosomal RNA", at positions 30 to 518 of the family's 1533-position model. The record is from RNAcentral.